Molecule: small nucleolar RNA, 130 nt
Filed under: Chlamydomonas reinhardtii
Lineage: Eukaryota; Viridiplantae; Chlorophyta; Chlorophyceae; Chlamydomonadales; Chlamydomonadaceae
Description: CrACA09b snoRNA
Source: RNAcentral
CGGCCACACGCGCACUGCCUCCAUCGCGUGAAUGGCCAUGCAUGUGUGGGCGACAUCACAGCCGUCCUGGGCUAGAGCUGCGGGAGCCCCCUACCCCGUGGGCACUGCGGUGUAGAACUUUGGGACACAU